CACACCGCCCGUCACACCAUGGGAGUCGUUCGCUCCAGAAGUGCCUGCGCCAACCGCAAGGAGGCAGGGCCCCAAGGAGUGAAUGGUAACUGGGGUG
This 97-nucleotide ribosomal RNA is filed under the name uncultured bacterium. RNAcentral describes it as "partial 16S ribosomal RNA". It matches the Rfam family "Bacterial small subunit ribosomal RNA", at positions 1386 to 1482 of the family's 1533-position model. The record is from RNAcentral.